RNAcentral lists this ribosomal RNA (371 nucleotides) under uncultured organism. Its description in RNAcentral is "partial 16S ribosomal RNA". It matches the Rfam family "Bacterial small subunit ribosomal RNA", at positions 527 to 896 of the family's 1533-position model. The record is from RNAcentral.
AGAGGGUGCGAGCGUUAAUCGGAAUUACUGGGCGUAAAGGGCGCGUAGGUGGAUAAAUAAGUCAUAUGUGAAAGGGCCUGGGGCUUAACCUAGGGACUGCAUGUGAUACUGUUUAUCUAGAGUACAGUAGAGGAUAGUGGAAUUUCCGGUGUAGCGGUGAAAUGCGUAGAUAUCGGAAGGAACACCAGUGGCGAAGGCGGCUAUCUGGACUGAUACUGACACUGAGGCGCGAAAGCGUGGGGAGCAAACAGGAUUAGAUACCCUGGUAGUCCACGCCGUAAACGAUGAGUACUAGCCGUUGGGAGCGUAAGCUUUUAGUGGCGUAGCAAACGCGCUAAGUACUCCGCCUGGGGAGUACGGCCGCAAGGCUA